UACGUAGGGUGCAAGCGUUAUCCGGAAUUAUUGGGCGUAAAGAGCUCGUAGGCGGUUUGUCACGUCUGCUGUGAAAACUGGAGGCUCAACCUCCAGCCUGCAGUGGGUACGGGCAGACUAGAGUGCGGUAGGGGAGAUUGGAAUUCCUGGUGUAGCGGUGGAAUGCGCAGAGUAUCAGGAGGAACACCGGUGGCGAAGGCGGUUCUCUGGGCAUUACCUGACGCUGAGGAGCGAAAGUGUGGGGAGCAAACAGG
Molecule: ribosomal RNA, 254 nt
Filed under: uncultured bacterium
Lineage: Bacteria
Description: partial 16S ribosomal RNA
Rfam family: Bacterial small subunit ribosomal RNA
Source: RNAcentral